AAGAAAAGCAUUUUCACUUUUGAGCAGUUGUUUGUCAGCUUUUAGAAGUGUUUGCACAUUGUAAGAGAACUAAAGCUGACGUUAGACGUCUCUUCAGUGAGAACUGCAAGUGAGCAGUUAAAACUGUUAGGUAUGAAAAACUCUGGUCUGUAAAUAAAGAACAGUUUAGAAUGUAUGAAUGAUAGACCAUAUGAACGUCAUUGAAUGAUUGAUAUUGAUAUUAAAAUCCCACUGGUCUCUGCCAAGACCAGACCAAGGACCAGAGCCGUUUACUUCCUGUUUGUGCCAAGAGUAGGGGAUGGUAGCAAGAAAGCUCACAAAGAAAAAGGAACGACUGCUUCAUCUCAUCCAACGGAUACAUGUGCCACAUGGAGCCAUAUUGUGGAUCGCACAUUCUCCUCCCAGAGAGAGGCUUGGAUCAGGGACCCAGCGUUAUCAUAGUUUUGGUUUGUCUUGUAAAUGGUCGUCCAUUUUACAAAGAUGUUACUGGAGGGUCCAUCGACCUGCUCACCUUCCCAGCAACGGUUUGGAACGAAACCACUGAGCCAUGGAAGGAGAUAUCCGCUGUGCUACCACUGAAGAUCAGUUCAUGGCGGGAGCCACGACAGACCCACAGCUCAGCCUCAUUUCUGGAAGUGAUGUCUUCGGGGUAACACCCCUCAUUUAAAGCAAAUGCUUCUCAAGGUUUAAUAAAACGAUGGACAAAGCAAGUGCAGAGAACGAGACAGUUGGACGCUCACCUCGAGUUAUGUUCUUUGCAGUGAUGAUUUUAUGACCACUGCUAUAAAGGAACACCAUUACGAGAAGCAUUUGGCUUGAAGGUAAGUAUAAACAAAGUUGGCGCCAAAGAGUAAAUCAUGUCUUGUUUACAUAAUGUCUUCUAAACACUAUUCCACCAUAGCUACAAGGCGGCAAAGCAUUAUUCUUCUUCCGUAAACAUCGUUUGACAGCAACAUGUUUACUGUGGAGGGAGUGGCAGGGGCGAUGGCGGCGAACAUCCAUCCUUGAUGUACGGGCACAUAUAAAGGCUAUAAAACAGGAUACAAACCCCUUUACGUUCAUCAAGAAAACAAUCUAAAACAAUAAUUCAAGCAUGAGCAACCUCAGCAUCUUUAGUCUUAAGUUCAUGCUCUGCAAGUUCUCUGUUUCAUCUCCAAAUGUUUCUUCCUCCCUGAAAACUAUUAACACAUCGCUCAAAUCUGCUAUAAUCACUGUAAACAUCUUCUGUCUCGUACACCGCCAUGUUUGUUGACCUGAGAGAUAUUACUCCGAUGAUGGCACUUCUGGGAAUGAGGCUGAACUGCGAGAGAUAGUUGGCGCAAUUAACCAUUAAUGCAAUUUUCGCAAAAGAAAGACGUUUUGGAGGGCUCUGGACGCUUGGUUUAACAGAAUUUUUUUUACUGUUUUUUUUCUAACACUGAUAUCUACUGACAUCAAUGCAAACCGGACUUCGUUAUAUGGGCCGCAGAUUGCACUCAGUAAACAUGGACCUAAGUAUCUGGAAGUCCUCAGGAGCACUUGGGAGUAUGAUCAAUCACAGCGGAGUGGGUGUACCUUGAGGAGGACGGGUUGUGGAGUAAAUUAAACAAACUUUUUGUGUAAGAAGCAGAAAGUCCAUUGAAAAACUGCAUAAAGUGCAGAAUCUGGAAAAUUUACACAAUAGGUUGCCUUUAAGCAAAGUUGAUGAAUCAUGUCAGGGUCCUUUUAAAUAUGCAAACAUCAUUUUACAUUGAAUAUGUCACUCUAUUAACAGAUGUGUUAUAACGUGUGACCAUGUCAGUUGUGGUAUGUGCGUAUAUGUGGUGAGGUAAGAAGAAAAAGGAUAGUGCCAGACCAUCAUAAAUAAAUGUAUGCAUGGGAAACAGUGGUAUCUAAAGAUAUACAAAAAACAUUGAGGUAAAACUGUUAGCAUAAUGCAAAAUGUAUGCAAUUUUCUUUGGUUUUUGUUUUUUUUUGUGACUCUGCCACAGAAAGUGAAAAAAUCCAAUCUGAAGAGCGUCACCUCACAGGCGGAUGCAGUAAAUCUAAGCAUCUAAAUCACAUCUAAGUUGAGUAAGCAAUGUAGCGUUUUGAAGUAUUACUAUACUGUGGGUAAUUUCUGUUUUCUCCUUGCAGCGGGACGGACCAGGUCUCCCUUAAACAUUAAUGUCCACAUCAUCGAAGGAUCUUUCUGUACUCACAGCUCUGGUGACCGACAGGAAGCGGUCAUAACUGAUGAGGACGAUGUUGAAGACAGAGGCGGUGCAGAGCAGGUUGUACGGAAUGUACACCGGGAUGCAGAAGGCACCUGCGGGUGGGAAAAGAACACAUCAGGGAUGAGUCCGUGGAGUAUGAAGAACUCAUAAAGUACAUCACCGCAUUGUGAGUGUCCUCCCUGGAGAUGCUUCUCUUCACCUGCUUGCUGCUGAUUUGACCCUCUUGUUCCCU
Doryrhamphus excisus (bluestripe pipefish) is the source of this 2427-nucleotide non-coding RNA. The record is from RefSeq and is a predicted model, not a curated record. NCBI's taxonomy places the organism in Eukaryota, Metazoa, Chordata, Actinopteri, Syngnathiformes, Syngnathidae.